Molecule: ribosomal RNA, 248 nt
Filed under: Escherichia coli
Lineage: Bacteria; Pseudomonadati; Pseudomonadota; Gammaproteobacteria; Enterobacterales; Enterobacteriaceae
Description: partial 23S ribosomal RNA
Rfam family: Bacterial large subunit ribosomal RNA
Source: RNAcentral
GAGUGGACGCAUCACUGGUGUUCGGGUUGUCAUGCCAAUGGCACUGCCCGGUAGCUAAAUGCGGAAGAGAUAAGUGCUGAAAGCAUCUAAGCACGAAACUUGCCCCGAGAUGAGUUCUCCCUGACUCUUUAAGGGUCCUGAAGGAACGUUGAAGACGACGACGUUGAUAGGCCGGGUGUGUAAGCGCAGCGAUGCGUUGAGCUAACCGGUACUAAUGAACCGUGAGGCUUAACCUUACAACGCCGAAG